Molecule: long non-coding RNA, 70 nt
Organism: Amblyraja radiata (thorny skate)
Lineage: Eukaryota; Metazoa; Chordata; Chondrichthyes; Rajiformes; Rajidae
Exons: 3
Source: RefSeq, a predicted model, not a curated record
GAAGAUUACGGAGAGUCGGAGUGUCAAGGAGGAAUCUCUCUAACUUUUACAGGUGCACAGUAGAGAGCAU